This 101-nucleotide transfer RNA is filed under the name Chlamydomonas reinhardtii. It matches the Rfam family "tRNA". Rfam says of the family: Transfer RNA (tRNA) molecules are approximately 80 nucleotides in length. Their secondary structure includes four short double-helical elements and three loops (D, anti-codon, and T loops). Lineage: Eukaryota; Viridiplantae; Chlorophyta; Chlorophyceae; Chlamydomonadales; Chlamydomonadaceae. The record is from Rfam by way of RNAcentral.
GGCUUCGUGGCGUAAUGGUGGCGCGUCGGAUUCCAAUCCUCCGGACACUAUACCGGAAGGGCACCAUCCGAAGGUUGGGGGUUCGAUCCCCUCCGAGGUCA